RNAcentral lists this long non-coding RNA (487 nucleotides) under Carica papaya (papaya). RNAcentral's name for it is "long non-coding RNA (CPAP_LNC002591)". Lineage: Eukaryota; Viridiplantae; Streptophyta; Magnoliopsida; Brassicales; Caricaceae. The record is from RNAcentral.
AUUUUGUCAGGGAUUUAUAAUUAUUUGCUUCGCUGCAUACAUUUAGCUAUUAUGCACUCGUAAUUUGUUUAUGUAUCUAGCACCUUUAUGCCUUAAUUAGCAUUUGGGAUGUCACAAAUAGUAUCAGAGCAAUUACACAGAACAAUGUCUUACAACUAAGGUUGUAGCUAGGAAAAACCUUUCUAAAAUACUUAGGAAAUAUGUCAUCUUUCAAAAACUAGACCACCAAAUUGUGUCUUCCUUUUAUUUUGUAGGAAUGACGUGAAAAAAGACCUUCUGUAGAGUAUAUCGAAAGACAUGAGGCCCAGGAUCAUCCGACUAGGACUGAGUUUACCGAACUCUUUCGAGCCAUCAAGGGUCUAACCACAGCUGUAGGACAAAACUAAUUCAACUCUUACCAAUAUCUCCUGCCCCAGAUUACCAACCAGCCGAAAGGUCUAUCUCCUAUAACAUAGCAGAAUUUAGGAAACUUAACACACCCCACUUU